This 402-nucleotide ribosomal RNA is filed under the name Triticum aestivum (bread wheat). Its description in RNAcentral is "partial small subunit ribosomal RNA". The record is from RNAcentral. Lineage: Eukaryota; Viridiplantae; Streptophyta; Magnoliopsida; Poales; Poaceae.
CUUCCCUUUAACAAGCAGGCACUAACGCCCCAUCUCUUGUCUCGCUCGCAGGCACCGAAGAAGGAGAAGGCCCUAACGGCGUCGUCGAAGCCGGCCAAGUCCGGCGAUGGCAAGCAGGAGAAGAAGGAGUGGAGCAAGGGCAAGCAAAAGGAGAAGGUGAACAAGGUGGUGCUCUUCGACCAGGCCACCUACGACAAGCUGCUCACCAAGGUGCACAAGUACAAGCAGAUCACGCCCUCCGUCCUCUCCAAGCGCCUCAGGGUAACCUCCUCCCUCCCUCUGCCGGAUCUCUUCUUCUUGCUUGCCUCUUUCCUUACUUCCCGUGAGAACCGAGAUCUCCGGACGUCAAUCAGUGGACCCUGGGCAAGAACAAGGUCACACCCAUGCGCUCUACGCCUGUCU